RNAcentral lists this long non-coding RNA (1984 nucleotides) under Monodelphis domestica (gray short-tailed opossum). Its description in RNAcentral is "lncRNA (ENSMODG00000049465.1)". The record is from RNAcentral. Lineage: Eukaryota; Metazoa; Chordata; Mammalia; Didelphimorphia; Didelphidae.
UACUCUCUCUUAGAAGUCCAGAAUCUUUCAUCCAUGAGAAAUCAAAUUGCCUAAUAUGUUCCCUGCAUUGUUUCCUUUUAAUUAAUUGGUCUUAUUUGAUUGCUUUUACUGUAUAAAAGUCUGUCUCUCUAUGUAUUCUGGAUUCAGCCUUAAACUGAUGAAUAGAAGUUCUUACCCAUGGAGAAAGGCAGAAGGAAAAAUAUCACACAACACUCACAUUAGCACAGGGUCUGAUUCAUGGUGUUUAAUAAAUGGUUGUUGACUCACUACAUGAAGCAUUGUGCAAUACCCAGAGAAUCUCCUGCCCCUGCCCUCAAGAAGCACCUGUUAGGGUCACACACCAGAGAAUCCUGGGAUUUCAGAGUAGCCAUUCUCUGAGUAGAAAUUCCUUCUACCACACAGCCAACAGGAGAUCAGUCAGUCUUUGCUUGAAGACCUCCUAUGAAGGGGGGAGCCCACAACCUCCAGAAGCAGUUAGGAAUUGCUUCCUGAUCUCAAUCCUAAAUCUACCUCUGUAGUUUCCACCCAUCUUUUGUAGUUUUGCCCACUGAGUUCAAAGAGAAGCAGUCUUCUCCCUCCUUUCUUCAUGAACCUUUCAGAUGCCUGGUAUGAGCUAUUUCAUAUCAGCUGGAAGUUUUCUCUCACCUAGACUGAGGAUUCCCAGUUUCCAAACCUCAGAUAUCAUAAAUUGAAGGCAAAGCUCUUCAUGAUCAUGGUGCCUAGACCCAAAGCAGACCAGGGACAAAAAGGGUCUGACUGUUCUCAAGUUGUGGAGGUCCUCACAGGGCUUUCUUUGACCUCUCUAAAGGAGUAGAAUAACUGCCAACACCUGAAGAGAUUGGAUGGGUGGGGCUUCCACUACAAAAUCACUUUGGCAGGGAGCUCUACUCGCAACUCUUAUUAAUCAAUCAGUCUCUAACUCUGCCUGGGAUUUGUAAUCAUGAAGUUCUUUGUGGAGCUACUCAUGCUCUUCCUGUUGUUUGCCCAGAUCUGGCUCCAACGUUGUCCAGUAAAUGUAUAUUGUGAUGAAAAUCAAUUUAUAGUCUCUGUGGGGAAAGAUCUUCUUAACAAUGGCAUGGCCUUGAAAAAGUAUCAGGUGACGCUGGGAGAGAAUUGUGAAGUAACCCAGAGCAGACCAGAUUUCUUGUGCCUGUCCUACACAGUCUCAGAUUGUGGAAUACAACGAACGGUUGUACAGGAUAUCAUUAUGUUCCACAGUACUGUGAAGAUUUCUUUCAUUUAUUAUUUUUAUGAUGGCACAGCUAAAAUACCCAUAUCAUGCAGUAUUUGGGAGAGUAAUUAUACAAUGAUCCCUCAACUCUCAUCAUUAAUGUUAGAAACACAGAAUGAAACAAACAAAGCUCAGGACUCUGGUCCAACUACCUCAAGGGCUCAGCAAAAUGUUGGCCUGAGCUAGUAGGGACGGGACCAUCAGAUCCACAAAACCCAACUCCAAGAGCAGCCUGAAACUUCCCUGUUUUGUGACUGACUCUUCUCUGCUCUGGGAAUAUGGGAACAGUGCUUUGCAACAAGUUUCUUCCCCUGAAAGCUGCUUCAGAGUUCCCAUGGUCCCUGGUCAAGGGCCAAUGGCAUCGCUUACCAAAAACCCUUGGGAAAUUGUGCAAAUGCCUGAUGAUGCUCUAUGAAACUCUUUGUAUAGUUUAUUUAAAAGAGCAUUGAUUUGGGGGGAAAAAGCCAUCCUGUCCCUUUUAUGGCCCAUGGUUAGAAGGGGCCAUCUUUGUCUUUUCAGGAAAAGAUAUCCAUUGUGUGUCUUUAGUUUUACAAUCUUAGGCUCAGAAUCACAGGGUCUAGGGCAGCACGGAAUAGAAUUGACCAUUGAGAAAUCCUUGAGUAAGGCUCAAGAAUACCCCUACUCAAAGUAUGACUUGAAUUUAGACUCCAGCCCCACUGCCCCCAAGACUGGGAAAAGACAACUUUGCAAGCAUUCAGGCUAUUAAGACAAAUAAAAUUGGUCCCAAAACCA